UGACAGUCGGACACCUCUGAUUCCCAUUACUCCUGUUGAAGACGAAGAUGCAACAACCGAGACCUCUGAUUACGCAAGUCCUGCUGCUGUCUUUAUGAGUGCACAGCCCUCCCUGUUUACUUCUGCUGGCACAUCCACAUCUCAACAUGUUUUACUGAAUGCGAUGUCUUCUACUUCUAGUUUGAGUUCCAUGGCUGGAAUGGAUCUUGGCAAUGAACGUGAUGUUGUAGCUGCUGCAUCAGCGGCACUCAGUGCACUAGUGAAGAGCAAUGAGGUAGGUAGCUCGAUUGACCGCGAAUUGCUUGUUAAUAUUCUCAACAAUCCAAAAAUGAUUGAACAGCUGGUUGUGGAUUCUGGUGCUGUCACUAGCACUCAGAAGCCAAUAUCGCCUCCUGACCCACCGCUUGUACCUAUGCAUAUGUCCGAAGCCAAUGCCAGCA
RNAcentral lists this unclassified non-coding RNA (440 nucleotides) under Hevea brasiliensis (rubber tree). The record is from RNAcentral. Lineage: Eukaryota; Viridiplantae; Streptophyta; Magnoliopsida; Malpighiales; Euphorbiaceae.